Molecule: non-coding RNA, 70 nt
Organism: Phrynosoma platyrhinos (Desert horned lizard)
Lineage: Eukaryota; Metazoa; Chordata; Lepidosauria; Squamata; Phrynosomatidae
Source: the annotation of a GenBank genome assembly
GCCAGUAUGGUAUAGUAGUUUGAGCGUUGGACUACAGCUCUAGUGACCAGGGUUCAAAUCCCUCUUGGCC